Molecule: ribosomal RNA, 301 nt
Filed under: uncultured bacterium
Lineage: Bacteria
Description: partial 16S ribosomal RNA
Rfam family: Bacterial small subunit ribosomal RNA
Source: RNAcentral
CAGUCGCCACGGUAAUACGAAGGGGGCUAGCGUUGCUCGGAAUGACUGGGCGUAAAGGGCGCGUAGGCGGCGAUCAAAGUCAGGCGUGAAAUUCCUGGGCUCAACCUGGGGGCUGCGUUUGAUACUUGGUUGCUUGAGUGGGGAAGAGGGUCGUGGAAUUCCCAAUGUAGAGGUGAAAUUCGUAGAUAUUGGGAAGAACACCGGUGGCGAAGGCGGCGACCUGGUCCUUUACUGACGCUGAGGCGCGAAAGCGUGGGGAGCAAACAGGAUAGAUACCCCAGUAGUCCCUGUCUCUUAUACA